GGAGCGCCUACCUUAGAGCCAUUGCAUCCUGGCAAACCGGCAAGUCCAUAAGGUCCAGGAUGGCCUGGGGUGCCCUGGAAAGGAGACAUCGUUGCCUACCCCGGAACCAGGGAGGAAAGGAAAAGAAAAAGAGAAAAAGAAGAGGGAAGUGUGCACAGAGGAAAUAUAAUUUGGCUUGAUGUCCUACAAAUCCACACUCUAAAACACUCUGUGCUUCUAUCAUGUUGUUUUCAUCAGGUAGUGAAUGUGUCAGUAGCCAUUUCUUUGUGUUAUUGCUUUACAGCUUUAUUAAA
Long non-coding RNA from Manis javanica (Malayan pangolin), 293 nucleotides. RefSeq lists it as uncharacterized. The record is from RefSeq and is a predicted model, not a curated record. Lineage: Eukaryota; Metazoa; Chordata; Mammalia; Pholidota; Manidae.